This 473-nucleotide long non-coding RNA is filed under the name Phoenix dactylifera (date palm). RNAcentral describes it as "long non-coding RNA (PDAC_LNC015478)". The record is from RNAcentral. Lineage: Eukaryota; Viridiplantae; Streptophyta; Magnoliopsida; Arecales; Arecaceae.
UUUUUCCUUUCGCAUAUUAAUAUUCAUGACACAACACAUAUCAAAAUGGUCAGCAGCUUUGGCAAUGGUCCAGGAGAAGCUAAUUAACAAGCAGAAUUCCACAAAGGUACAAUGACUCCUCAUUUUGAAUUAUGCCUGUUUAUUCCUUUAAUAUAAAAAAAAUUAUCUAGCGAUCAAUGCAUACUCACCACUAUAGGUAAUCAAUGCAUACUCACCACUAUAGGUAAUGGCGAUGGUAAUGUAUGUGGAGAAGUUCAACAGAAGUUUGAAUGUCAACUCUACAUGGUAAAAUUGAUUCCUUGGAUUGAACUGCGUCACAUUCGCAUCUUCCUCUUUAAGAAUUAUCAUAUAUUCAUCAUAUGUACGCCGCCAUGGCGGGCGAUGGAAGAGCCAAUGGCAAUGGUCUUUGAGAAGCUCAUCAAAAGUUUGUGCGCUCUCUAAUAGAUUCCUUGAACUGAAUUAUGCCAUGUUCU